Molecule: long non-coding RNA, 1117 nt
Filed under: Oryza sativa (Asian cultivated rice)
Lineage: Eukaryota; Viridiplantae; Streptophyta; Magnoliopsida; Poales; Poaceae
Description: long non-coding RNA (OSAT_LNC001119)
Source: RNAcentral
CCGGCGAGGAGUUCCACGCGCCGCCGCCGCCGCUUCUCCUCCAGCCGCCGGCGGGGCCUCCCUUCCUACCCAAGCCUCCGCCGCCGUUCCCAUCUCCUCGUCCUCCGUGCCACCGCCGGCGCCUCUUCCGCUGAAUCCAUCUCCACCUCCUCACCUAUUCGCUAACGCCGCCUCCCAUCCUCUCUUCUCUCCGGGCUCCGGCUAGAUCCAAGUCGGCGUCGAGAUCCAGGGCUCGAAAACCCCUCACCUAUCCAAGGAUUUCAGGUAGUGAUCUCUGCGAAUUCCUUGAAACUGCAUGCUUUUUUAAAAAAAACUCCUGUGGACACUUUAACAAUCCAAAAUGAUAAAGUAGUUAAUUGGCUUAUUUCCUCACUUUUCUAUCUACCAAUUGGUUCGUUAAUUCAUAUAGAUAUAUCUUAAUUGCUUAGUAAAGAUUAUCUCUUGGAUUGUUGUGUACUCGUCGAUUUUUGAUAUUAUCGAGCCGUCCCGAAAUAAUGGCUAUAGUUUCCAUCUUCCAUUGGGUAGUGUUCAUUGUUGUCUCCGUUUCAGCGUUAUAAAUCAAACAUUGUGCAAAUUGUAGAUAGAAAAAAUUGUGAAGAUUGAGGAAAACUAUCCUACGGCUCAAUGAGCAGAGCCGGUAUGUCAGACAACCAGUGAAGUCCAUGUCUUAUGCCCAAUGCUUGCACUCAAACCUCAUUCCUUUCCUAGGUUAAAGUAUGCUGUUUUAUUUUGGCCUUGGUGCACAUUUAAGCACCAGAUCUUUUACUCCCAUUUUCAUGUCCGCAAAUUCAUGAACCAGCAGAUUAAUCAUACAUGUACACCAAUUAAAUAUUGUAACAGAAGAGAUAUAUAUUCAUAUUCAACAUAUAUGCAUAGAGGUGAAGAGUAAUCGGUUACUGGGCAUGUUGCUGGUGCUAUUCUUGUUAUUCUUAACGCCCGAUGUAGAUAAGGAUGCCGAGAAUAAUUCAUUCUUCUGUGUACAGCGACGAGGGCUAUGGUUCACUGCUGGGCAUUGCUGCCUGUCUUUGCUGUCGAUUUGACAUAGUCCUUCCUAAUCUUCUUCAGCAUCACGACCACAUCCUUCAUUUCCAUCCUUUGCUCUGGGGAGUCAGCCGAG